CAAUAAUUUAGUAUUUAUCUGCAGAAAAUGAGAAAUGGUCAAAAUAACAAAAAGAUGCAGUGCUUUUAGACCUCAAAUAAUACAAAGAAAACAAGUUUAAUUUAGAAGCAACAAUGCUAAUGAUUUAACUCAGGAAGAGUUCAGAAACCAAUAUUUGGUGGAAUAACCAGGAGGUUUUGGUUCAGCGCAGUGGCCUCUUAGUUUAUUCCAUAGGUGUAAAACCAGCUGACCAAAUGUGCUGGUUGCUAGGUAACAGUGCAGUGACGCAAUAACGGGAGGCUCGUUUUCCAGACGCCAAAAAAACAGCUGGGUGAUUUUUUAAUGUUUGUUUUUAGAAGCAGUAGAGAAUCAAAUGGAAGUUCAAAAAGUAAAUUUGGCAUAAUAGGUUCUCUUUUAAAAAAAUCUAUUUAAAUGUUUCUUUAUUUGACACAAAUGGUAACAUUUGCAAAUGUAUUUAUACUAUUUCUAAAAAUUUACAACUAAAAUCAAUAUAUUUUAAUUGGACCAACAAAGUCGUGCAUAACUGAGAAAUGUUUUCAAAAUGUUCUGCAAAUAAAAAUCAAAGUUGUUGAAUUCAACUUUGUGUUUCCACCUUUCCAGAAAUGGAAAUUAAAAAGUUCUAAUUAGUAACACUGGAUUUUGUUAAAUUGUCUGCAUAUGUAUUUAUAUUUCUGAUAAUUUUCUAUCACACAAAAUCCCAGUAAAAACAUUGGAAGUUUUUAGCUGUAAUGUGACAAAACGUUACAAUUUGCAAUCGUUUUUGAAAAAUGGUUCAAAUCUUGACAUUCUUUGAGAUCAAGUCAAAUUUUCCCCAACAUUAAAUUUUUAUUAAUAUCUAUUUAUGCUUUUUCAAUUUGUCAUUCUGAGGCUUAAAAACUGUAAAUCAAAAGGAGAAAUUUUAAAAAUGAAGAUGGUAAAACUGCCAUUUUAUAUCGUCAUGCAUUUUGUUUUAUCAUAUUCCAGCUUUUUAAAAUCUGACUUGUUGUUUUUAUUACUGAUUCAGAGGUCAGAUUUAAACCGGAUUUUUCUUUAAAAUGACACCGAGCGCCAUAAUGUUUGUUUUUAUACAUUCAACAUUUCAUCGUGUUUCGUGUUUGAUAUUUGUGUACAGAAUGUAAUGCUUUUUAUUUAUGACUGAUUUUCUGUUAGUAAAUCCUAAUUGUUUUCCUUCAUUUGCCUGAUUUAAUAACAUUAAUCAACAGAAGGCGACAGACAUUACAGGUUUGAACAUUUAUUACUAAAAGUUUUCACCAGAAAUGAACAAAGAUCGACAGUUUUCUGGGUUUUUUUUCCUACACAACCAUAAUACGGUUUGUUUUAAGGUGAGAAAUAGGCAGAAGUCCAGAGACCAGUUUGUGGUAAAUAACCGUAAAUAUUAAAGUGAUUGUCAAAGCUGCAGAAUAUCACAGAAAUAACCUUCAUCUCGCCCAACUUUAGAACAAAACAAAAAGGAAUACACUUUGAUCGAACAGCCGAAAUUCACAAUAAAACACAAAGUGGAGACAAAUAAACCCAAAUAAAUCUAGAAAAUAUUGCAAUUGAGCUUCAAUUUCAGUUACAAAAGUAGUUUUAAAAAUUAUUUUUUUCUAUAAUUAUGCGUUUUAUUCAUUCCUUUUUGUUGUAUUCCUUCAAUCCAUACAUGCAAGUGCUUUGUUACCGUAAAACGUUUUUAACGAGGCACAAAUGGACGUUAAAAAAAUAAACUUUCAGAAAUAACAGGGGUUCUGUUGGAACCGAUAUCCUAACUUUCAUUUGCAUUUUUUGUAAAAAUCAGUUGAACCAGUUAGUGGCAGAUAUUUAUUUAUGCUUUGGACACUUCAGCAAGUAUUUUCUGUUAAAAAUGGAUUACAAAAUAAGCUUCAUACAUCAACAUUUUCAAUGAGUUCAUCAACUUCCACUAUUAAAUCAUACCUAUUACUUUGCUUAAACUACAAAUCCAAGUUCCAAAUAGUUUUUACUGUUUAUAAAAAGUAUCGUCUGCUCUGAUAAACUUUGAUAUUCAAAGCAAAGUGUUAAGUUUAUGAAGCAAAACUUUUCCUCUUCACAUUGAAGAGUUAGGAAUUUAAUUAUUGAGUCAUAAAAAUGGAGAAAGUGAUGAAAGUUUGUAGCUGUUUAUAAAAGACAAUAAACUUCCUGUUUUAAGUUUUAACUUUAUUAGAUUGGGACUAUUUAAGUAAAUGCAUAUUUAAUAAUAUGUUAAUAUUUCCAGGGUUUCUCCUGGUGUAUUAUAAGCCUGGCAGGCUGCCAGGCUCAGCAUUGUUUAUUUUAAGACCUUAUACUGUGUGUUUAGGUGUAAAUAUUGUCUUCCAUUACAAGUGAUUUUUUAAUAUUUCCUGGCAUUUAUCACAUUUUCUGAAUUUGAGAAUCUGUAGUUUGACACACUGUAGUUCCUAAAACUCAACAAUCAUCCAAACUGCCAAACCUUAAAGUUAUAUAUUAAAAAAAUGCAUAAAAUUCUGGUUUGUUAUAGAUCUAAAGCAGUGUAGAUUCACAGUUACGGCUUCCUCAACAUACCUCUGCUUAAAUUUUUUUAUUUUAUUUCUCCAUCUCAUCGAAUUUGUUGAAUUUGAUGAACACGGACAGAGAACUCCGCCAUGUAAAAAUCACCUAAAGUAACCGAACAUAGAUUAUUCUGCAGCCAGUUUUUGUAGGCCAUGAGUUACACGAUGAUGACAUCGCCGUCCUUUAUUUCAAAAUUGUAUAUCUGCUUGGCUUCAAACACUUAAAAACUGUCUAUUUGCAUAAACUCGACUUAAAAUGAUACUUCUAAAAAAAGUUUCCAGUUCAGGAAAACAGGCUAAAGGGGAAAAGCCUUUAACAUUUUUUUUGUUUUGUAGCUGAAGUGACCUGAGGAGACGUGGGUUGGACCAGGGACCAAGUCCUUGGUUGUGGGUUGUCCUUUAUAAUUUGAGGCAAUUAUAAAAUUACCUCAAAAAGUGACAAAAAUAACUUUUUUAACCAAUAUUUAAAAGAAGAUUUCACCAAAGUUGUACUUUAUUGGUUGGAGCUCUAAUAGCAGCUUUUUCUUCUCGGUUUAAGAAUUGUUCUUGUUUUGUUUUUUUUGUCAUAAGUGCACAUUUCUGUCCGCCAGAUCCUGUUUUAUGCCUCGUUGAUUCAUAAUACUUCAAUUUUUAAAGGAUUAACAGCAACAAAAAAAAGAACACAAAAAUUCUGGUUUCUGUUAAAAUUCUAACAGGUUUUUAAGGCAUUUCUGUUUGCAAAUGACACUGCAGUAAAAAAAAAAAAGCUGUGAGUAGUGAUCUAG
Xiphophorus hellerii (green swordtail) is the source of this 3265-nucleotide long non-coding RNA. RefSeq lists it as uncharacterized. The record is from RefSeq and is a predicted model, not a curated record. The transcript has 2 exons. NCBI's taxonomy places the organism in Eukaryota, Metazoa, Chordata, Actinopteri, Cyprinodontiformes, Poeciliidae.